CCUACGGGUGGCAGCAGUGGGGAAUAUUGGGCAAUGGGCGCAAGCCUUACCCAGCAAUACCGCGUGAGUGAAGAAGGUCUUCGGAUUGUAAAGCUCUUUGAUCAGGGACGAACAGAUGACGGUACCUGAAGAACAAGCCCCGGCUAACUACGGGCCAGCAGCCGCGGUAAAACGUAGGGGGCGAGCGUUGUCCGGAAUGACUGGGCGUAAAGGGUACGUAGGGGGUAUACUAAGUUAGAAGGUGAAUACCCAGGGCUUAACUCGGGUGCUGCUUCUAAGACGGUUGGGCUUGAGGGCGGGAGAGGUUGGUGGAAUUCCUAGUGUAGCGGUGGAAUGCGUAGAUAUUAGGAGGAACCCCGGUGGCGAAGGCGAUUAACUGGACCGUAACUGACGCUGAGGCACGAAAGUGUGGGUAGCAAACAGGAUUAGAUACCCUAGUAGUC
This 443-nucleotide ribosomal RNA is filed under the name uncultured bacterium. Its description in RNAcentral is "partial 16S ribosomal RNA". It matches the Rfam family "Bacterial small subunit ribosomal RNA", at positions 338 to 795 of the family's 1533-position model. The record is from RNAcentral.